RNAcentral lists this long non-coding RNA (554 nucleotides) under Ursus maritimus (polar bear). RNAcentral's name for it is "lncRNA (ENSUMAG00000023076.1)". Lineage: Eukaryota; Metazoa; Chordata; Mammalia; Carnivora; Ursidae. The record is from RNAcentral.
UGAGAAGAGAGCACGGAAGAGCCCGACGAGAGUUCCAGCCAAGGGAAAAUGUCAGUCAGAGGAAAGUGGCCCCAACCCGGAAAUCUGGGUGCUCAGAGCUGGAAGGGGCAGCUGAGUGGGAUAAAAGCCUGAUGGGAACCACAUAAGAAGUUGGCGGGCAGAGUCAGGCCUGAGCCACACUUCCCAGCCUCUCCCUGGGCCUCGCGCUCCCCCUCCUUCCCUCCGCAGAACCAGCUUCAGGACCAACUCAGCCCUGGACACAGGGAGGAAAGAGCACUGGGUGUGGACCCAGAAGUCCGGGUCUGAGGGCCAGUCUUGGCUUUGUCAGCUCUGUGGCCUUACAGGAUGACCCAAACCCCUCAGAGCCUCAAUUGCUUGGAAAUAAAGUGAGGAAAUAUAAUAGAGUGAGGCGUGCGGCCUCUGUGAGGUGGUCGCGAGUCUGCAGCCCUGUUCCCCUCAGCUGCUCCUGCCCUGCCAACGAGAUGUGCAGACAGGACGACAAGACCCAGUGGUUUGAGGGAGCAGAGAUUUCUGUCUGUUCAGACCCAAGUUGA